AGUGAACGCUGGCGGUAGGCCUAACACAUGCAAGUCGAACGGCAGCACAGUAAGAGCUUGCUCUUACGGGUGGCGAGUGGCGGACGGGUGAGGAAUACAUCGGAAUCUACUUUUUCGUGGGGGAUAACGUAGGGAAACUUACGCUAAUACCGCAUACGACCUACGGGUGAAAGCAGGGGAUCUUCGGACCUUGCGCGAUUGAAUGAGCCGAUGUCGGAUUAGCUAGUUGGCGGGGUAAAGGCCCACCAAGGCGACGAUCCGUAGCUGGUCUGAGAGGAUGAUCAGCCACACUGGAACUGAGACAAGGUCAAGACUACUAAGGGAGGCAGCAGUGGGGAAUAUUGGACAAUGGGCGCAAGCCUGAUCCAGCCAGACCGCGUGGGUGAAGAAGGCCUUCGGGUUGUAAAGACCUUUUGUUGGGAAAGAAAAGCAGCAGGUUAAUACCCCGCUGUUCUGACGGUACCCAAAGAAUAAGCACCGGCUAACUUCGUG
Molecule: ribosomal RNA, 492 nt
Filed under: uncultured bacterium
Lineage: Bacteria
Description: partial 16S ribosomal RNA
Rfam family: Bacterial small subunit ribosomal RNA
Source: RNAcentral